Non-coding RNA from Vicugna pacos (alpaca), 1943 nucleotides. The record is from RefSeq and is a predicted model, not a curated record. Lineage: Eukaryota; Metazoa; Chordata; Mammalia; Artiodactyla; Camelidae.
AGGAAAAACCCUUUACCCUUCUAUCUUUGCCCUUCAGAACCAGGAGAGGAAACACAGAACGUAUGUCUAUGUGCUCAUUGUCACGGAAGUGCUGGAAGACUGGGAAGACUCAGUUAACAUUGGAAGGAAGAGGGAAUGGUUUAAAAUAGAGGAUGCCAUCAAAGUGCUGCAGUAUCACAAACCAGUGCAGGCGUCAUAUUUUGAAACGUUGAGGCAAGGCUACUCAGCCAACAAUGGCACCCCGGUUGUGGCCACCACAUACUCAGUUUCUGCUCAGAGCUCAAUGCCAGGCAUCAGAUGACUGAAGACUUCCUGUAAGAGAAAUGGAAAUUGGAAACUAGACUGAAAUGCAGAUCUUCCCUCUCACCCUUGCUCUUUUCACCUCUCCUUACAGGCGCAGGCCUCCUCUUUCAAAUAAGGCAUGAUGGGCAGCAGAGAAAGGGCUUAUUGAUAUUGUUGCUGUUUGGUGUUAAGUGAUGGGGCUUUUUUUUUUUUCUCUUUUUAUUGAGGGGGUGGGGGUUGGGUAUGUAAUUUGUAAGUACUUUUGUGCAUGAUCUGUCUCUCCCUUUUCACACCCCUAAAAGUCUCUGAAGAGGCAAACAGCCUUUCCUCUGCCUUGGAUUCUGAAGUGUUCCUGUUUGUCUCAUCCCAGUCCUGGCCAGAUAUUUUUCUUUGAUUUUUAAUUUUUUUUAUUAAAAGAUACCAAUAUGAGAUGAAAUCUUUCAAGAACUUGUCCUGUAAUGUGUGUUAAGUCCAGUAGGUUGGUCACUUUCACUGCAGGACACAUUUAUCUACACAUUAUAUACUGGGCAUAUAAUAUGUAAAUAAAUGACUUUUAGAAGAGGAAUUUAACCGUUUAAUUUUUCAAGGUUUUUUGUUGUUGUUGUUGUUGUUGUUAUUUUUUUUAAUUUGGGGUGUUUCUCAAGUGGAGAGCCUCACAAUUUACUUUUUUGUUUUUGAUGCUAGUGGCUAGGUAAGUUUCCCUGUCCUCUCUCUUUUCCCCAGUCAUUGACUAUAGUUAUGUAGGGUACAGGAAGAGUUUAUUAGCAACCUUCAUAGUGCUCCCAGGACUCAUGGCCUUCUCUUCUCGAAGCUGUAUUUCCAUGCCAAGAAAGAAACAGGAAGAAACAUAUUUUCUUUUUUAUUACCAAGCCAGGAGCAAAUGGCCUCAGCUCAGAUCUGGAGAAACAAUGAUAGAAAUUGAAUUCCUCCCUACAUGUUGACAGUAGGGAUUUGAACUGGAUUCUUGGGAUUAUUAUCUAAAAAACUGGAGCAUCGAGCACUGUUUCUAUCCUGCUGGUUUGGAAUUUUUUCCGUAAUGCUAUUUAUCGCUGACAACGGGCUCUCUCUUUGUGCGUACAUGCCUUACACCGUGCUGAACUGGAUAUUGUCCUUGUGCUCUGAAGCAUCCAACUGUACUUGGCAAGUGCAGCUGUACAGUCCUGUCCCUGUUCUGGGUAACCAUGUUAAGUUCCUGAAAAGUACACAGGAGGAAAAUUCAGGCGUUUGCUUGUCUUUGUAAUGUUACAGCAUUUGUAAUUGCACCAUGGAGCAUGCUCAGAAAUACUAAAUUUGUCUCCCACGGGGAUGUGGAAGGUCCAUCUUCCACUGAGAAGUGGUAUGGGAGAAUGCUUAAUCAUUUACUAGAACAGCUACGUAAUGCAUUGGCCCACUGCAAACUGUCUUGUUGGUUUUUGAUACAGAUUUGAUGCUGGCUUCAUUUGCCAAUUAUGUUGUUUAGUUGGGAAGUAAGCAGAAAAGGGUCUUGAGACAGGAGGGGGAGGGUGGGGAGGGGGGCAGCACUGAUCAGUCCCUGGCUUGGGACAGGAGUUUGUUGCUAUACUCUUAGUGGCAUCUCCUUUGUCAAAGCGUAGCCAAGAUGUGAAAUUAAAAUUGUAGUUCUCUUUAUUUAAAAAUUCUAAUAAAUACUCAAACUUUGAAAA